This 533-nucleotide ribosomal RNA is filed under the name uncultured bacterium. Its description in RNAcentral is "bacterial SSU rRNA". It matches the Rfam family "Bacterial small subunit ribosomal RNA", at positions 1 to 518 of the family's 1533-position model. The record is from RNAcentral.
UUGGGUCUCGAGAGAGUUUGAUCCUGGCUUAGGAUGAACGCUAGCGAUAGGCCUAACACAUGCAAGUCGAGGGGCAGCACAUGAGUAGCAAUACGAUGGUGGCGACCGGCGCACGGGUGAGUAACACGUAUGCAACCUACCUUUAACAGGGGAAUAACCCGUUGAAAAACGGACUAAUACUCCAUAACACAGGGGUCCCGCAUGGGAAAUAUUUGUUAAAGAUUUAUCGGUUGAAGAUGGGCAUGCGUUCCAUUAGCUUGUUGGUGAGGUAACGGCUCACCAAGGCUACGAUGGAUAGGGGAACUGAGAGGUUUAUCCCCCACACUGGAACUGAGACACGGUCCAGACUCCUACGGGAGGCAGCAGUGAGGAAUAUUGGUCAAUGGGGGCAACUCUGAACCAGCCAAGCCCGCGUGAAGGAUGAAGGUCUUAUGGAUUGUAAACUUCUUUUGCAAGGGAAUAAAGUGGGGGACGUGUCCUCCUUUGCAUGUACCUUGCGAAUAAGGAUCGGCUAACUCCGUGCCAGCCGCCGC